CGGGCGACGUGCCGGUCUAAGUCCCUUGGAACGGGGCGUCAUAGAGGGUGAGAAUCCCGUACGGGACCGGUGACCGAGCCUAUGUGAAACUCCUUCGACGAGUCGAGUUGUUUGGGAAUGCAGCUCAAAAUGGGUGGUAAAUUUCAUCUAAAGCUAAAUACCGGCCAGAGACCGAUAGCGCACAAGUAGAGUGAUCGAAAGAUGAAAAGCACUUUGGAAAGAGAGUCAAAAAGUACGUGAAAUUGUUGAAAGGGAAGCGCUUGCAACCAGACCUGCCCGCGGGUGAUCAACCGUCCUUCUGGGCGGUGCACUCGCCCGCGAUCAGGCCAGCAUCGGUUCGGGCGGCCGGAUAAAGGCCUUGGGAACGUAGCUCCUCUCGGGGAGUGUUAUAGCCCUUGGUGCAAUGCGGCCAGCCUGGACCGAGGACCGCGCUUCGGCUAGGAUGCUGGCGUAAUGGUUGUAAGCGGCCCGUCUUGAAACACGGACCAAGGAGUCUAACAUCUAUGCGAGUGUUUGGGUGUCAAACCCAUACGCGUAAUGAAAGUGAACGGAGGUGGGAACCCCUCGGGGCGCACCAUCGACCGAUCCAGAUGUCUUCGGAUGGAUUUGAGUACGAGCAUAGCUGUUGGGACCCGAAAGAUGGUGAACUAUGCCUGAAUAGGGUGAAGCCAGAGGAAACUCUGGUGGAGGCUCGCAGCGGUUCUGACGUGCAAAUCGAUCGUCAAAUUUGGGCAUAGGGGCGAAAGACUAAUCGAACCAUC
Molecule: ribosomal RNA, 761 nt
Filed under: Gyalolechia marmorata
Lineage: Eukaryota; Fungi; Ascomycota; Lecanoromycetes; Teloschistales; Teloschistaceae
Description: LSU rRNA
Rfam family: Eukaryotic large subunit ribosomal RNA
Source: RNAcentral